UGUGCCAGCCGCCGCGGUAAUACGUAGGGUGCGAGCGUUAUCCGGAAUUAUUGGGCGUAAAGAGCUCGUAGGCGGUUUGUCGCGUCUGUCGUGAAAGUCCGGGGCUUAACCCCGGAUCUGCGGUGGGUACGGGCAGACUAGAGUGCAGUAGGGGAGACUGGAAUUCCUGGUGUAGCGGUGGAAUGCGCAGAUAUCAGGAGGAACACCGAUGGCGAAGGCAGGUCUCUGGGCUGUAACUGACGCUGAGGAGCGAAAGCAUGG
Molecule: ribosomal RNA, 261 nt
Filed under: uncultured Actinomycetales bacterium
Lineage: Bacteria; Bacillati; Actinomycetota; Actinomycetes; Actinomycetales
Description: partial 16S ribosomal RNA
Rfam family: Bacterial small subunit ribosomal RNA
Source: RNAcentral